Molecule: ribosomal RNA, 301 nt
Filed under: uncultured bacterium
Lineage: Bacteria
Description: partial 16S ribosomal RNA
Rfam family: Bacterial small subunit ribosomal RNA
Source: RNAcentral
CAGUCGCCGCGGGAAUACGAAGGGGGCUAGCGUUGUUCGGAUUUACUGGGCGUAAAGGGCGCGUAGGCGGACUGAUAAGUCAGGGGUGAAAUCCCAAGGCUCAACCUUGGAACUACCUUUGAUACUGUUUGUCUUGAGUUCGAGAGAGGUAAGUGGAACUGCGAGUGUAGAGGUGAAAUUCGUAGAUAUUCGCAAGAACACCAGUGGCGAAGGCGGCUUACUGGCUCGAAACUGACGCUGAGGCGCGAAAGCGUGGGGAGCAAACAGGAUUAGAUACCCCGGUAGUCCCUGUCUCUUAUAA